RNAcentral lists this long non-coding RNA (224 nucleotides) under Elaeis guineensis (African oil palm). RNAcentral's name for it is "long non-coding RNA (EGUI_LNC011567)". Lineage: Eukaryota; Viridiplantae; Streptophyta; Magnoliopsida; Arecales; Arecaceae. The record is from RNAcentral.
AAUGACCCCGGUGUGCGACCCUUCUUUUCCUCGACUUUACGCACAAGCGAAAGAAGAGACCUACACGUCUGAGAAAUCUGGCGCUUUGAUAGACACGUAAGCGCUGGUUGAACUACGAGAAUUCCUAGACUUUUUAUCCCGCUGCAUUAAACUUCGCUGACUUAUGAAAGCUGCAGGCAAACCAGACAGGUUCAAAUUCAAAUGCCAAACGUUUAUGUUAUGGG